Molecule: long non-coding RNA, 1058 nt
Organism: Esox lucius (northern pike)
Lineage: Eukaryota; Metazoa; Chordata; Actinopteri; Esociformes; Esocidae
Source: Ensembl
UAGUUUUAAAAAAUUCAUUUAUGAGGAAAAACGGACGUUACGGAUGUGACUUCUUUCCGUUAUGGACGUGACCGUUCCGAAAUCAUCACUUGGCUGACGCUGGAAAACUUGAACAGAGACCUUUUUGUGUGUCUCUUUAUUUGAAACAACAAACAUCUGAGACAUCAGUAAGGUAUCCCUCCAUCCAAUCUCUACUGUAGAGUGCGUCCCCUGUCGGCUCAGAUGAUAAUCUGCUUCAUGGCGCAUGUGUCAGGGGGAAAGAAUGCUAAUCUGGAAGAGAUGCGGACUGCGAAGUCGGGGCUUUCUUGGCUGCCAGUUUCCACUGCGCACUACUUUCCAUGUGGAGCCGCUCCGGAGUGGCUGAAGCAGAAGGAAUUCCCGGCCGAGGGAGCCGAGGUGUUGACAGAUUCCAGAUCGCUCAUCAGGACACGCCUCCCACAUUAAAGGUCACCCAUCGAUUGAACAACCAUGCUGCUUGACCGUCCGUUUUUGAUUUAUAAUUAGAUGCUAAUAUUUCUGAUUGCGAUCCACUAAUAAACACUAAUAAAUAAUUUUUGGACUAAGGAUUAGGUUGUUGUUAGUACUCUCUAAUACAUUUGUCUAACAUUUGUUUAGUACAGUGUGCCAAACAAAUAAAGAGCAUUAUCACAAGCAGGCGUGUGAGCAAGGAUGCCAAAAUCUGAUUAUAUACUGUCUAUCUUGUUCCAAGAGGCCAUUUACCGCAGAUUCGGUUUGGCCAUAGGUAAUGAUCAGAAUUGUAGAAUGAGGCAUAAUUAAUUAUAGGUAAUGUGACUUUUGUGCUAUUUUUGCCUACAUUUUUAUCUCUUUACAUUACACUGUAUUUGAUAUAUUUUUUUUCUUAGCCUUUCACAUGUUUUUAACAAAACUCUGGCUACCAGACCUCCUGCUCUGAUCUUUCUUUUUAACCUUUGACCUUAACAGUUUCUUUUUUCUACAUUGUCUGGGUUGAGACAUGUUUUGUUUCAUAAAAGCAGUGCCUUUUUGAUAUUGUAAGUAGAAUUUGUGUAACAAUAUUAAAAUAUUCAUUUAUAUUUAAA